Molecule: ribosomal RNA, 468 nt
Filed under: uncultured bacterium
Lineage: Bacteria
Description: partial 16S ribosomal RNA
Rfam family: Bacterial small subunit ribosomal RNA
Source: RNAcentral
GACGAACGCUGGCGGCGUGCUUAACACAUGCAAGUCGAACGGAAAGGUCCUGCCUUUGGGGGGUGCUCGAGUGGCGAACGGGUGAGCAACACGUGAGUAAACUGCCCUUGACUCUGGGAUAACGUCAGGAAACUGGGGCGAAUACAGGAUAGGAGAUCCCGCUGCAGGGUGUGGGUCGGAAAGUUUCGGCGGUUGGGGCUGGACGCGCGGGUUAUCGGCUGGAUGGGGGGGUAGUGGGCUACCAAGGCUGUGACGGGUAGCCGGCCUGGGAGGGUGACCGCGCCCAAUGGGACUAAGGUACGGCCCAGACUCCUACGGGCGGCAGCAGUGGGGAAUAUUGCACAAUGGGCGGGAGCCUGAUACGGCAGCGCCGCGUGCGGGAUGACGUCCUUCGGGUUGUGAACCGCUUUCGCCUGUGACGAAGCGUGAGUGACGGUAAUGGGUAAAGAAGCACCGGCUAACUACGUG